ACGCUCGACACCUACGGGAGCAGCAGUAGGGAAUCUUCCACAAUGGACGCAAGUCUGAUGGAGCAACGCCGCGUGAGUGAAGAAGGUCUUCGGAUCGUAAAACUCUGUUGUUAGAGAAGAACACGAGUGAGAGUAACUGUUCAUUCGAUGACGGUAUCUAACCAGCAAGUCACGGCUAACUACGUGCCAGCAGCCGCGGUAAUCUGAGCGGGCUGGCAAGGC
RNAcentral lists this ribosomal RNA (222 nucleotides) under uncultured bacterium. RNAcentral describes it as "partial 16S ribosomal RNA". It matches the Rfam family "Bacterial small subunit ribosomal RNA", at positions 328 to 539 of the family's 1533-position model. The record is from RNAcentral.